ACGAACGCUGGCGGCGUGCUUCACCCCUGCCAGUCGAACGGAAAGGCCCUGCUUGCAGGGUCCUCGAGUGGCGAACGGGUGAGUAACACGUGGGUGAUCUGCCCUGCACUUCGGGAUAAGCCUGGGAAACUGGGUCUAAUACCGGAUAGGAGCCAUUUUUAGUGUGAUGGUUGGAAAGUUUUUUCGGUGUAGGAUGAGCUCGCGGCCUAUCAGCUUGUUGGUGGGGUAAUGGCCUACCAAGGCGGCGACGGGUAGCCGGCCUGAGAGGGUGGACGGCCACAUUGGGACUGAGAUACGGCCCAGACUCCUACGGGAGGCAGCAGUGGGGAAUAUUGCACAAUGGGCGCAAGCCUGAUGCAGCGACGCCGCGUGGGGGAUGACGGCCUUCGGGUUGGAAACUCCUUUCGCUAGGGACGAAGCUUUUUGUGACGGUACCUAGAUAAGAAGCACCGGCUAACUACGUG
RNAcentral lists this ribosomal RNA (464 nucleotides) under uncultured bacterium. Its description in RNAcentral is "partial 16S ribosomal RNA". It matches the Rfam family "Bacterial small subunit ribosomal RNA", at positions 29 to 507 of the family's 1533-position model. The record is from RNAcentral.